UACGAGGGGGGCAAGCGUUGUUCGGAAUUAUUGGGCGUAAAGGGCUCGUAGGCGGCCAACUAAGUCGGAUGUGAAAUCCCCAGGCUUAACCUGGGAACUGCAUCCGAUACUGGAUGGCUUGAAUCCGGGAGAGGGAUGCAGAAUUCCAGGUGUAGCGGUGAAAUGCGUAGAUAUCUGGAGGAAUACCGGUGGCGAAGGCGGCAUCCUGGACCGGCAUUGACGCUGAGUGAGCGAAAGCCAGGGGAGCAAACGGG
RNAcentral lists this ribosomal RNA (254 nucleotides) under uncultured bacterium. RNAcentral describes it as "partial 16S ribosomal RNA". It matches the Rfam family "Bacterial small subunit ribosomal RNA", at positions 524 to 776 of the family's 1533-position model. The record is from RNAcentral.